This is a long non-coding RNA of Passer domesticus (house sparrow), 2804 nucleotides long. RefSeq lists it as uncharacterized. Lineage: Eukaryota; Metazoa; Chordata; Aves; Passeriformes; Passeridae. The transcript is spliced from 4 exons. The record is from RefSeq and is a predicted model, not a curated record.
CUCUCAGCACAGCGUCUGAAUUACCAAGCAGCUCCCAGCCGCAGGCAACCUUAAGCAAGCUAUAGUGAUUUCAGCUCUCAAUGAUUAUCAGCUCUUUGAGAUUUCAGCUCUUUAGCUUGCUGGUGCCACAGCAGCAGAUGCAGGGAGAGAGAAGAGAAAAGCUGUAUAAGAUUCUGCAGGAAUUGUUUAUUGGUGUCCCCCACAAAGGUUCUCAGUGACAGCUUCUUCUGCCAAACCAGGAAGAAGUAGGGGGUUUUAUACCCUACAGGGGUUUUGGAAAUUGUCCAAUAGUAAGGAUCAGGGGAAAGUGACCUAUAGGCUUACAGAGAUAUAAACAGGGUCUGAAAGUGGAAGAGAGGGGCUUCUAAGGCCCAGUCAUGAUGACUUGGCAUUUCCUACCUCAGGCUUCUGGCCUCCAAGGAGGCCUUGCAGACCCUGGUCCUGCUACAGGCGCCCAGCACUGGGAGAAUGGAUUAUAGAAUAAUAAUAGAUAGUGCUAAAGGCAAUCUCACCCCUGGGGAGCUGCAGAUGUACUAAUUACCAAGAAUUAGGAACAGGCCUGCCCUUAAUAGGCCACAGGUAUAUCCAGUGGGGCUGAGUGUUAUAAAAGGGUGGGCUAGCAAGUUGGGAGAGGGUUGGAGUCAGUUGGCUGUGCUGAGGAGGAAGGAGCUAGCUGGCUAUGAGGUGGUGCCUGUGAGAAAUCACAGAGAAAGUAGGCAAGUUUUACAGUAAGACAACAACACACCUGCAUUUUCACAACAGGAAGACAGGGCAGAGGAGAAAAAAUUGUGUUACUGCACAGAGGGACAUCAGAUUGCAAUAGGACAACUGUGAACUAACCAACUGCUCUGGAAUGCAGCCUCACCACCCACUCACAGUGAGAGUCAGAAAGGAGGCUCCAAGCACACCUUGUACCUCAUUGCAGACCUUGCUGCCAUUUGAAGUGUACCAAAUAAACAAAUGCGCACAAAUCAGGAGAGUUUCCCAUGUUGCUAUGUAUACAGAUUUGCUGCAGGCAGGACUCAUCCAACUAAAAACUUGCAAGAAAACCUUCUUGUGAAAUUUCUGAAAUUUCUUAACAAUUUAAGCUGAAAAUCAAGGUGUGAAAUUGUGAAGGUGAAAACAGCAACAAAAUUGUUCAGAGCCUUUUACUCCUCGAUGAGUCUGUGAUGAGCACUGUGACCAGUCGGUCCAGGCUCUCGUGAGCCCUCACCUGGAGUGCUAUGUCCUGCUCUGGAGUUCUCAGCAUAACAAGGUCCUGGAUCUGUUGGAGCAAGUCCAGAUGAGGUCACAAAGAUACUCAGAAGGCUUGAGCACAUCUCCUACGAAGACAGGCUGAGAGAAUUGGGAUUGUUCAGACUGGAGAAUAAAAGGCUUCUGGAAGACUUUAUGGGGUACCUUUCAGUACCUACAGGGGAUUCCAAUGAGCUGGAGAGAGACUUUUUAGAAGGACGUGUGGCACUAGGAUAAGGGGAAAUGGCUUCAAACUGACAGAGACCAGAUUUACAUCAGAUACAAGAAAGAAAUCCUUAAUUAUGGGGUCGAUCAGACAUUGGCACAGGCUGCCCAGAGAAGUUUUGAAUUCCCCAUUCCUGUCAGUGUUCAAGGCCAGUUGGAUGGGGCUUUGAACAACCUGGCCUAGUGGAAGGUGUCCCUGCCCACGGCAGGCGAUGGAACUUGAUGGUCUUCACUGUGCCUUUAAAGCAAAUCUAUUCUACAGUUUUAUGGUUCUACAUUCAAAGUGUUUUAUUAAGGUAGAACCACCUAUGGUAGUUGCUAUAAUAACUUUAAUUCCUUUAUUCUAUCAGGCUGAUAAAGUUACCAAAGGUAGGUGUUUUUAUUUGAGAAUAAAAAAACAACUCCUUUUUAAAACAAAAAAAUAUAAUUAUUGUUACUAUAUUAUGAUUGAUCUAACGACAAUUAUAUGGGAAUUAGCUUUGCCCAGAAAACAAAAGCUCUAUCUGUGGCAGUCAAGUCUAUACAUUAUAACACAUGCAAUGUCUUUCAUACAAUGAGUUGUGCAAGGAUGCGUUUCUCAUCACUACAUCCAUAAAAUGAAAAUACUUUCAUUAAAUAGCUUUGAGCUCUAGCAGCUCCAGAUAAAAAUUCAGUACUCUUAGAACAAAGUUGGGUUUUUUCUCUUUAUAGUCUCAUUAUCUGGUCCAUAACUUCUAGUAUGCAUAGCACUAUCGGACUCCAUUACAAGAAGCAUUGACAUGGAGCAGUAGAAUAUUUUAAUAAUUAACAUGCAGAAGAAUAUGAUGUUAGAUUUUUGUGCCUCUCUAAAUGCUCACUAAAUCUUGAUCUUCUUAUUUGCUUGAGUAAAUAAAUUGUAAUUGUUAUGAGAGUUCAGACAGCUAAGAUGACUUCUUUUUGGUGUAGUAUUCUGUAUCUGCAUAGCAGCUCUCCUUUAAAAGGUGACUGCAUGUGACACGUAAGCAUUGCUUGUAUUUCUGUCUUUCCUUUACCCUUCAGCCACAUCAUCUUGACCUCUAUUUCUUGCUGUCUACUAUGUUACAUCCUAUUAGCAUUAUGGAAGGCCUAAUACUGAUGGAAUUACUAUUGUAGUAUUUAUCAACAGAGAGUAAUACUGAAAUGGGAAUAAUAUCAACAGAGAACAAAGUGAAAUAGGGAAAAUUACUGAAUAUCAGAAAAGGAGACAGGUGAAAGCAUUCUAUAAUUCUGAUAUUAAUGACAUAUUUUUCUGGAGAAAACAAAAUUGAAAUUAUUUUUCUUCACAAUAUUGACUGGUUCCAGUGCUAUCACAACUUAUUUUGUAAUAAAAUACAAGUAAGCAUCUUGAA